Molecule: long non-coding RNA, 284 nt
Organism: Prionailurus viverrinus (fishing cat)
Lineage: Eukaryota; Metazoa; Chordata; Mammalia; Carnivora; Felidae
Exons: 3
Source: RefSeq, a predicted model, not a curated record
AGAGAAAGCACUAGUGAGGAGACAAAAGGCAAGUAGAGCUUUGCAGAGGGCCCAGGAAAGACCUUAGCCACUUGGAUAUCAACCACUACCCACCUGGAUACUCUCUGUGAUGAAAAGCAGAUCAAAGGGGAUUGGAAACUAUGGAACUACCCACAGCUUGCAACAGAAAAGGUCAACUGUAGCAUUCUCACCAUCUCUGAGGUUUUUAUACGGAGACAUAAGCAUCAGCAGACAGCUCAUGGACCCUUUGGAGCCACCAGAAAUGAAGCUGAUAAAUGUAAACA